RNAcentral lists this ribosomal RNA (301 nucleotides) under uncultured bacterium. Its description in RNAcentral is "partial 16S ribosomal RNA". It matches the Rfam family "Bacterial small subunit ribosomal RNA", at positions 509 to 807 of the family's 1533-position model. The record is from RNAcentral.
CAGUAGCCGCGGUAAUACAGAGGCCUCAAGCGUUGUUCGGAUUCAUUGGGCGUAAAGGGUGCGUAGGUGGCGAUGUAAGUUCGGUGUGAAAUUUCAGGGCUCAACCUUGAAACUGCAUUGAAUACUGCAUUGCUUGAGGAUUGUAGAGGAGAGUGGAAUUCACGGUGUAGCAGUGAAAUGCGUAGAUAUCGUGAGGAAGACCAGUUGCGAAGGCGACUCUCUGGGCAAUUCCUGACACUGAGGCACGAAGGCCAGGGGAGCAAACGGGAUUAGAUACCCCAGUAGUCCCUGUCUCUUAUAC